This 257-nucleotide ribosomal RNA is filed under the name Clostridioides difficile. Its description in RNAcentral is "partial 23S ribosomal RNA". It matches the Rfam family "Bacterial large subunit ribosomal RNA", at positions 1 to 258 of the family's 2925-position model. The record is from RNAcentral. Lineage: Bacteria; Bacillati; Bacillota; Clostridia; Peptostreptococcales; Peptostreptococcaceae.
GGUCAAGUUAUUAAGGGUGCAGGGCGGAUGCCUUGGCACUAGGAGCCGAUGAAGGACGUGAUAAGCUGCGAUAAGCUUCGGGGAGUUGCACGUAAACUUUGAUCCGAAGAUUUCCGAAUGAGGAAACUCACUUAGAGUAAUGUCUAAGUAUCAUUAAGUGAAUACAUAGCUUAAUGAGGGGAACUCAGGGAACUGAAACAUCUAAGUACCUGAAGGAAGAGAAAGAAAUUCGAUUCCGUAAGUAGCGGCGAGCGAAC